This 240-nucleotide ribosomal RNA is filed under the name uncultured bacterium. RNAcentral describes it as "partial 16S ribosomal RNA". It matches the Rfam family "Bacterial small subunit ribosomal RNA", at positions 524 to 763 of the family's 1533-position model. The record is from RNAcentral.
UACGAAGGGGGCAAGCGUUGUUCGGAAUUACUGGGCGUAAAGGGAGUGUAGGCGGUUAUGUAAGAUAGUGGUGAAAUCCCAGAGCUUAACUUUGGAAUUGCCAUUAUGACUAUGUGGCUAGAAUUACAGAGAGGAUAGUGGAAUACCCAGUGUAGAGGUGAAAUUCGUAGAUAUUGGGUAGAACACCAGUGGCGAAGGCGACUAUCUGGCUGUAUAUUGACGCUGAGGCUCGAAAGCAUG